RNAcentral lists this ribosomal RNA (235 nucleotides) under uncultured Candidatus Saccharibacteria bacterium. RNAcentral describes it as "partial 16S ribosomal RNA". It matches the Rfam family "Bacterial small subunit ribosomal RNA", at positions 585 to 818 of the family's 1533-position model. The record is from RNAcentral. Lineage: Bacteria; Candidatus Saccharimonadota.
AAGUGGAUAGUGAAACCUGGUGGCUCAACCAUUCAGACUAUUAUCCAAACUGCUAAGCUCGAGAAUGGUAGAGGUAGCUGGAAUUUCUAGUGUAGGAGUGAAAUCCGUAGAUAUUAGAAGGAACACCAAUGGCGUAGGCAGGCUACUGGACCAUUUCUGACGCUGAGGCACGAAAGCGUGGGGAGCGAACCGGAUUAGAUACCCGGGUAGUCCACGCCGUAAACGAUGGAUACUA